Molecule: transfer RNA, 84 nt
Filed under: Acidaminococcus fermentans
Lineage: Bacteria; Bacillati; Bacillota; Negativicutes; Acidaminococcales; Acidaminococcaceae
Also listed under: 1 other name
Description: tRNA_Leu_CAG
Rfam family: tRNA
About the family: Transfer RNA (tRNA) molecules are approximately 80 nucleotides in length. Their secondary structure includes four short double-helical elements and three loops (D, anti-codon, and T loops).
Source: RNAcentral
GCGGGCAUGGCGGAAUUGGCAGACGCGCUAGCUUCAGGAGCUAGUGGGGGCAACCCCGUGGAGGUUCAAGUCCUCUUGCCCGCA